This 214-nucleotide unclassified non-coding RNA is filed under the name Hevea brasiliensis (rubber tree). Lineage: Eukaryota; Viridiplantae; Streptophyta; Magnoliopsida; Malpighiales; Euphorbiaceae. The record is from RNAcentral.
GGUCAUCAUAUAAUAAAUUGUCACUUAGUAAUUGUGGAAUUGAUCCAAAAUAAUCCAAUUCCAAUAGAUGUGACAAUGAACAAAUUCUUGGUAAUUUCAUUGUUUGUGGUCCACCAACAACUUCAAUUUCAUUAUUUGUAGUACUCAGAUUUUGUGCCUCUAAUUCUUCUUCUUCAACUUUCAUCAUCUCUAUAGUUCUCCCCAAAUUUUUCUU